This 24-nucleotide non-coding RNA is filed under the name Arabidopsis thaliana (thale cress). The record is from RNAcentral. Lineage: Eukaryota; Viridiplantae; Streptophyta; Magnoliopsida; Brassicales; Brassicaceae.
AAUGGCGUAGGUUGUCCCAUUGGU